GUAGGUGAACCUGCGGAAGGAUCAUUACAGAGUUCAUGCCCUGACGGGUAGAUCUCCCACCCUUGAUAUUUAUACCUUUGUUGCUUUGGCGGGCCCGCUUCGGCCACCGGCUCCGGCUGGUGAGUGCCCGCCAGAGAACCCCAACUCUUGUUUUUUAGUGUCGUCCGAGUACUAUAUAAUAGUUAAAACUUUCAACAACGGAUCUCUUGGUUCUG
RNAcentral lists this unclassified non-coding RNA (215 nucleotides) under rhizosphere metagenome. RNAcentral describes it as "partial ribosomal RNA internal transcribed spacer region". The record is from RNAcentral.